CGGGGUUUAGCUCAGCUUGGUAGAGCAUCGGCUUUGGGAGCCGAGGGUCAUUGGUUCAAAUCCAAUAACCCCGACCA
Molecule: transfer RNA, 77 nt
Filed under: Alteromonadaceae bacterium M269
Lineage: Bacteria; Pseudomonadati; Pseudomonadota; Gammaproteobacteria; Alteromonadales; Alteromonadaceae
Description: tRNA-Pro
Rfam family: tRNA
About the family: Transfer RNA (tRNA) molecules are approximately 80 nucleotides in length. Their secondary structure includes four short double-helical elements and three loops (D, anti-codon, and T loops).
Source: RNAcentral